GCCGACUUAGCUCAGUGGUAGAGCAUCCGCUUCACACGCGGGAGGUCAGAAGUUCAAAUCUUCUAGUCGGCACCA
Molecule: transfer RNA, 75 nt
Filed under: Aridibacter sp.
Lineage: Bacteria; Pseudomonadati; Acidobacteriota; Blastocatellia; Blastocatellales; Blastocatellaceae
Also listed under: 3 other names
Description: tRNA-Val
Rfam family: tRNA
About the family: Transfer RNA (tRNA) molecules are approximately 80 nucleotides in length. Their secondary structure includes four short double-helical elements and three loops (D, anti-codon, and T loops). Further hydrogen bonds mediate the characteristic L-shaped molecular structure. tRNAs have two regions of fundamental functional importance: the anti-codon, which is responsible for specific mRNA codon recognition, and the 3' end, to which the tRNAs corresponding amino acid is attached (by aminoacyl-tRNA synthetases). tRNAs cope with the degeneracy of the genetic code in two manners: having more than one tRNA (with a specific anti-codon) for a particular amino acid; and 'wobble' base-pairing, i.e. permitting non-standard base-pairing at the 3rd anti-codon position.
Source: RNAcentral